RNAcentral lists this long non-coding RNA (328 nucleotides) under Gossypium barbadense (sea-island cotton). RNAcentral describes it as "long non-coding RNA (GBAR_LNC003910)". Lineage: Eukaryota; Viridiplantae; Streptophyta; Magnoliopsida; Malvales; Malvaceae. The record is from RNAcentral.
UUGCCAUGGCCAUCAGCCAUUGAGAUAUAUUAUAGAUAACCAAAUGAAAACUUUGCAUACUCUCUCCGUUCUUCAAUGAGCAAAUUUACUUUAUAAGUCGAGUAACUUACCAACUUCGCGGAUAAUUCCACAGUAUCACAGUAAGAAGCACUAUAGCUUUUCGCGGUCUACCUUUCCUUCAAAAUAUCUGAACUCCUCCUAAAUAUCUUCGGCCUUUUAUCAAUAAAAAACCUCAUCUCAAGAACCUGAUACGUGUUCCUGACAGGUCGGAAAGCUCGAAUAAAUACUUUUUUAUUUACAAAUGGAAGUUUCUUUUGUUGAUGCUUCC